GGGGGGGUGCGCGCUCCCCCCCGCCCCCCGCAUUCCCAACCCCUUUUCCCGUUGAUGUCACGCGCGCAAGCCCGGGCGCGCCCUCGCGCGUGUGGUGGGAAAGGGGGGCGUGGCCGGCGGCGCCCCCCGCUCUGCCGCCAUAUAGGGAAUGGAAUGCGGGGGCGGGGCCGCCGCCGCAGCCUGAACCCGGUCACCUCUGCCGGGAAAGCCGGAGGGGUGGGGCGAGCCGCGCCUCGCGGACGGGAAGUACGGUACGCGCCGCCGUGGGAGACCUGCGCUCCUGCUUCAGAGGCGGGCCGCAGCAGGCGAAGCCCUUUCCAUCCGCCCCUGCAUCAGGAGCCCAGAUGCAUGCCUAUAACAAGCUCUUGAGCUACACGAGUGAGGCGCGCUCCAAGAUCUGGGCAGAAAUUUUUAAAUUCACUAAAGAAAUAUCAGAAGAAAGCAGGUGGAAGAGCUCACGGAUCCACCUCUUUCGACUGUCUCCCCUCAUCAAGAGUAUCUUUUUCAUAUUGAGUCUGUGUAUAUUAACAGAUACACAGAAUGCUGGUGAAUCUUUUCAGUUUCUGGGCUGGGGAGCAGCCAAGGAAGCAAGAGGCAUCUUUUUUCUUGUCAUGCCACCACAGGCACCAAAUAUGCUCCACUUUAGGCUCCACCUGCACCAGCAUAGCACUUGAACAACUUGCAAAUUUUCAUCUGAGGCUGAACUUUUGUCCUGCCAGAUUUGCCCCAAGUUCCCUCCACUUUCUGAAACCAAGUGGGAAGAUAUGUUAACUCCAAAGAAGAAAAUUAGGAAGUGUUAAAGCCAUAUCUAAGCUAUUUUAAUUGCUAGUUAGUUUUUCUUUCAGUGGAUGUUCUCAAGGGAAGACCUUACUGAGCUGAGCAUUUCUUGCCGCUUGUUUCCAUCUCACUGUUUUGGGAAGUUUCUAUUCCAGAGCUACACAGAGAGGAAGGAAUGGCUGCAAAACAGCAAGCUUAACUUGGCUAACUUCCUGCAUGUAAUAAAAGGCUAUUCUGUGAGCUGCUUGGAAAAGCACCCUUGGCCACCACGCAGUGAAAUUCCUUCCUAAUAAUCUUUUCAGAGCAUUAGGCCAGUUGCAGUCAGUUUUGCUCAUUAAGGUAAAGUAUAAAAGGCUUGAGCAUUCCACCAGUUGCACUGAUCUAAAAGGAAGGUCACAUACAGCUGCACAGUUGUCUUUGUGUGAAACACACCAAGGUCUAAAUGUAGAAAAAUGAUGGCAGGCGACAUAAUGCUAGCCAACAUAAGUCAACCCAGUGGUUAAAUCUUAUCAGGAAAGAUGAGACUUGGCAUUCCUGCAUUGAAGCUGAGCAAGCAUCUGGAUUCAUGCACUGCAUAAAAUAUUUCUAAACUCUCAGAUGGUAGGGGGUCAAAGGCAGAGAAGGAGACUUGGGAAUGGAGGCUGGAGGGUUCUUGGAGCUAAAGCUAUAAGGGAAAAAAGGCAAGAAAAAUUGAGGAGACAGGACUAAAAUAAUCAAAACAAGAAACAAUGAUAGGUCUACUGAAACAACUGGAUUUACAAUGCUGAACCAAAUCUUUUUAAACCUGUUUCUGUGUGCCUUUUUAGAUAACAAGGGGUUUCAUUUCUUGGAAGAAUGUAGUAGACUCAGAAGGCUAUAUGUUUUAGAGAUAACAAAUGUAUUCUAACAUUGUGUGAAAGCUUGAAAACACUGUUGUAUGUGAAGGUAGUGAAUAUCACUGUACUUUGUAAUACAGUGAAACUGGGAAUUUAAAUGCAGAAAAAGCAGACAGAAGUGAUGAGUGUUGAUAAAAUUACCAUCUUAAGAUUGGUUGGUGAAGAAAAUAGUGUAGUUGGUCACUGUCUUCAGUUUUACGAUGUUUUCAUAAAACAGUUUCUUUCAUUAUGUUCAGAGGCUAUUUUUAAUUUAAAGCCUAAAAAAAGAACUUUUGCCUUUUGCUAGCCUUUUAAAUCAAAUACUCUAGGAUAAAUAUUGCCAGCUCUUUAGACUUUCUCUGUUGAAGUGGAAAUAAACUGGCAGCACCGAAUGAGCCCUUUCAAAGUGCAGCUUUUUAUUUUGAUUAAAUUCCUUGUUGAUUCUAAAACUGGACUCAGAGACUAGAAUCUAAAAGCAUUUAGGAAAAUUUACUUAAAAUACUAAGCAUACUUUGCCAGUUUUCUAGAACAGUUAAAAGAAACAAAUGUCUGCAACUGGGCUAAAUCCUCUUGACAUUAAUUUCUGUGUCCUCUGCCUUUCUGUGGCUCAAUACUUAAUGUAUGAAGUCAUUCUCAGAUGGACUGAAGGGGAAGGCAUUGUUUGUACCAUAGUCCCAGAGCUGUGUGAAUUAAUGCUGCUCUGUAUUUCCUUAAGGACUGAGCACAUUCAGUUUACAUUUAUUGAGAAUAGAUCCUGGGAAUGAAUUAUUUCUUCCUUAUAAGGAGCCUUGUGUUGAGAUAUCUGUUGGGGCAGUUUAGCUCACUACUAAGUCACUAGGGAUAAAAGCAUCACUGUUACAAGUAAAAUGAUAAUGUGCAAGAAACUUCUUAAAAUUAAAUGUAUUCCAGUCAUUUAGAUGGUUCAGAAUAUUGAGGUCUUGGAAGACUAGAGGAAUAAGAGUGUCUCACCUUUCUUCAGAUUUAGCAUUUGCAUAAAGUCAAAAGGAGAAAGUCUUGUCUCAGAGGGAGCUCUAGAUUUAGUAUCUCGCUGGGUUUGUUGUGACCUUAUUUAGAUCUGAGUUGCAAAAUUUAUGAAUACUCAAAGUAAAAGCAGUAUAUUACCCUCACAAGUCUUUGUAAAUGUUAUUUUUAAAGUAUUAUCUUUUCCUAAUAUCAAAAUAAAAGAAUUUUAUUAAAAUAUUGGAUAUUAAAACAUCCUUCAUUUAUUCUCUCUUGUUAGUCCAAAUACAUACACUUAAUUGUGACUAAGUGAUUUUAAAAAAAAUGUUACUCAAAACUUCAUCUUCAGACAUUCUCCACCAAAAAUGGGAUAGGCUGGUCUAGAAGUUAUCAGGUGCAAAAUGCCAUUGUUUGGUCUACCAGCAUGUGUAGGAAUACAAAUAUACAGAAAGUGAAAUGGGCUGGUGGUUUAAAAGGGAACAUUAGGGC
Long non-coding RNA from Camarhynchus parvulus, 3080 nucleotides. Lineage: Eukaryota; Metazoa; Chordata; Aves; Passeriformes; Thraupidae. The record is from Ensembl.